CAACACUAGACAAAAGGAGGAGGAAAUGACCAAGCAGAAAACACACAUGGGAGGAACAGCAACGUCAGAACCCUACCACAGAUUGUCUCUGGGAAAACCAAGGCUUCACAACUAAACAUAAGCAGCUGGAGCUAACGUCGAUGGGGAACCAAGCUGGACUCUUCUUUGCAGUGUCAUUGGAUUCAACAUCAGGGCAAAGCCAGAAGAAAGAUGUCAAAUAGCCUGACCAGCUCUGAAAGGGCUCUGCUAGCAAGGCAGAAUCUCCAGGAAUAAAGCAUCUAUUUGCUUGAAGAUAGUGCCAUCACCAAUUCAACACUGAACAAAAGAAACCACCAGUGAUGACGAGGAGGAAAAGACCCAGCCAGGCCAAAACAGGAGAUCAUGGGCAUCACAACUGACGCUGUUUGUUGGUGGAGAAACACAAGCAAGAAUGUUAAAGAGAGUAAGGUGUGCCAUCCAAGUGGAUUCGACAGCUGAAGAAGGGCCCGCGGUGUGUGCUGGAGAGAAGCAAAGAUAGUUACGACAAAUGACCCACUUUCAUCACCCAAGCAAGAAUGUUAAAGAGAAUGAGCUGGGCCCUCAUGGAGCGAGGAAGAUGGAUAGAGCCAGCCAAGAGAGGACUCAGAAACUGAAGAUGGGCCCAUGGUGGGUUCCAUUGGUUGGAUGAAGAUGGGCCCUCGGUGAGUGCCAUUGGUCGGAGAGAAGACGAAGAAGAGCACGUGCCAAUAGUAGUUACGAGAAAUGCCGAACGCGACACCUGAAAGACAAGGGAUCUCUGGUAAUGAAGGCUAUCUUUUGUCACAGGACAGAACCCACACCCAAAUCAACACUCGACAAAAGAAAGAAGGACCAUACAUUGAGGAACAGGAGCAUCAGAACCCUACCACGCCUAUCUUUGUCACAUGACAGAACCCACAUCCAAGUCAACACUGGACAAAAUGAGGAAAAUUCAUGGGAGGAACAGGAGCAUCAAAAUCCUACUACAGAUUGUCUGGGAAAACCAAGGCAUCGCAACUCACCAGAAGUAGCUGGAGCUAACGAUGAUUGAGAACCAAGCUGGACUCCUUUUUGCAGUGUCAUUGGAUUCACCAGAAGGGCAAAACCAGAAGAAAGAUGUCAAAUAGCCUGACCAGCUCGGGGAGGAUUCUGCUAGCAGGGCAGAAUCUCCAGGAAUGAUGCAUCUUUGACUGAAGAUGGAGCCAUCAGCAAUUUAACACUGAACAAAAGAAAAUACCAGUGAUGACGUGGACGAAAAGACCCAUCCAGGACAAAACAGGUGAUCAUGAGCUUCCUAACUGAAGCUGCUUGUUGGUGGGAAACACAGGCAAGGAUGUUGAAGAGAGCAAGUUGUGUCGUCCAGGAGAAGAUUUGGCAGCUGAAGACGGGCCCACGGUGGGUGCCGGAGGUUGGGCCUUACCGCGGUGAUGCCGGACAGAAGAUGAAGAAGAGGAGCAAGAAGCAAAGAUAGUUACGUCAAAUGCAGAACGCGACACCUGAAAGCCAAGGGAUCUCUGGUAAUGAAGCCUAGCUUUGUCACAGGACAGAGCCCACACACAAGUCAACACUGGAAAAAAGAAAGAAGGAACAUACAUUGAGGAACAGCAGCAUCAGAACCCUACCACGGAUUGUCUCUUUGAAAACCAAGGCAUCACAACUGAGCAGAAUUAGCUGGAGCUUAAGCCUAUUGAGAACCAAGCUGGACUCUUUGCAGUAUCAUUGGAUUCGCAAUCAGGGCAAAACCAGAAGAAAGAUGUCAAAUAGCAUGACUAACUCUGGAAGGACACCAGGAAUCUCCAGGAAUGAUGCAUCUUUUUGACUGAAGAUGGUGCCAUCACCAAUUCAACACUGAAUAUGAGAAACCACCAGUGAUGACGAGGAGGAGGAAAAGACCAGGUCAGGAGCAAACGGGAGAGCAUGAGCAUCAUAACUGGCGCUGCUUGUUGGUGGGAAACAAAAGCGAGGAUGUUAAAGAGAGCAAGGUGUGUUGUCCAAGAGAAGAUACGGCAGCUGAAGACGGGCCCACGGUGGUUGCCGGAGGUUGGAUGAAGGCGGGCCCUUGGUGGGUGCCGGAGGAUGAAGAGGAGCAACUGCCAAUGGUAGUUACGACAAAUGCAGAAUUGGACACCUGAAAGUCAAGAAAUCUCUGGUAAUGAAGCCUAUCCUUGUCACAGGACAGAACCCACACCCAAAUCAACACUGGACAAAAUGUGGAAGGAACAUACAUGGGAGGAACAGGAGCAUCAGAACUCUACCAUGGAUUGUCACUGGUGAAAAACAAGGCAUCACAACUGACCAGAAAUAGCUGGAGCUAAUGAUGAUUGACCAAGCUGGUCUCCUCUUUGCAGUGUCAUUGGAUUCACCAUAAGGGCAAAGCCAGAAGAAAGAUGUCAACUAGCCUGACCAGCUCUGGGAGGACUCUACUAGCAAGACAGAAUCUCCAGGAAUGAUGUAUCUUUGACUGAAGAUGGAGCCAUCACCAAUUCAACACUGAACAAAAGAAAGCAUCACUGAUGACGAGGAGGAAAAGACCCAGCCAGGCCCAAACAGGAGAACAUGAGCAUCAUAAUUGACGCUGCUUGUUGGUGGGAAACACAAGCGAAGAUGUUAAAGAGAUCAAGGUGAGCCCUCCAACAGAGUAUUCUGAAGAUGGGCCCACGGUGGGUGCCGGAGAUUGGACUUGCCCCGUGAUGGGUACCGGAAAGAAGUUGAAGAAGAGGAGCAAGUGGCAAAGAUAGUUAUGACAUGACCCAAUUUCUUCACCCAAGCGAGACGGAUAAAGAGAGUGAGCUGGGCCCUCAGGGAGCGAGGAAGAUGGACGGAGCCGUCACAGCGAGGACUCGACAGCUGAAGACUGGCCCUCGGUGGGUUCCAGAUGUCGAAGAGAAGACGAAAAGGAGCAACUGCCAAUGGUAGUUAUGGCAAAUGCAGAAAGCUACACCUGAAACCCAAGGGAUAUCUGGUAAUAAAGUCUAUCUUUGUCACAGGACAGAACUCGCACUCAAGUCAACACUGGACAAAAUGAGGAACAUACACGGGAGGAACAGGAGCAUCAGAAUCCUACAACGGAUUUUCUCUGGGAAAACCAAGGCAUCACAACUGACCAGAAGUAGCUGGAGCUAACAACGAUUGAGAACCAAGCUGGACUCUUCUUUGCAGUUUCAUUGGAUUCACCAGAAGGGCAAAGCCUGAAGAAAGAUGUCAAAUAGCCUGACCAGCUCUGGGAGGACUCUGCUAGCAAGGCAGAAUCUCCAGGAAUGAUGCAUCUUUGACUGAAGAUGGAGCCAUCACCAAUUCAACACUGAAGAAAAGAAAGCACCAGUGAUGACGAGGAGGAAAAGACCCAGCCAGAACCAAAGAGGAGAUCAUGAGCAUCAGAACUGACACUGUUUGUUGGUGGGGAAACACAAGCGAGUAUGUUAAAGAGAGCAAGGUGUGCUGUCCAAGAGAAGAUUCGGCAGCUGAAGACGGGCCCACGAUGGGUGCCGGAUGUUUGACGGACCUGCGGUGGAUGCUGGAGAGAAGAUGAAGAAAAGGAGCAAGAAGCAAAGAUAGUUACGACAAAUGACUUUCUUUCGUCACCCAAGCGACCAUCAGGACAAAGCCAAAAGAAAGAUGUCAAAUAUCCUGACCAGCUCUGGAAGGGCUCUGCUAGCAAGGCAGAAUUUCCAGGAAUGAUGCAUCUUUUUGACAGAUGAUGGAAUCGUCACCAAUUCAACACUGAAGAAAAGAAAGCACCAGUGAUGACGAGGAGGAAACGGCCCAGCCAGGACCAAGCAGGAGUUCAUGAGCAUCAUAACUGAUGCUGUUUGUUGUUGGGAAACACAAGUGAGGAUGUUAAAGAGAGCAAGGUGUGAGAAGAUUCGGCAGCUGAAGACGGGUCUGCAAUGUGUUCCGGAGGUUGGACGAAGACGGGCCCUCGGGUGCCAGAGGUCGGAGAGAAGAUGAAGAGGAGCAAGUGCCAUUGGUAGUUAUGGCAAUUGCAGAAUGCGAGAACUGAAAGCCAAGGUAUAUCUGGUAAUGAAGCCCAUCCUUGUCACAGGACAGAAAACACUACCAAGUCAACACUGGACAAAAUGAGGAAGGAACAUACAGGGGAGGAACAGCAGCAUCAGAAGCCUACCAUGGAUUGUCACUGGGAAAACCAAGUCAUCACAACUGACCAGAAGUAGCUGGAGCUAACGGCGAUUGAAAAUCAAGCUGGUCUCAUUGCAGUGUCAUUAUAUUCACCAUAAGGCCAAAGUCAGUAGAAAGAUGUCAAACAGCCUAACCAGUUCGGAGAGGAUUCUGCUGGCAAGAUAGAAUCUCUGGGAAUGACACAUCUUUUUACCAAUGAACGGAGCCCUCACCAAUUCAACUGGUCAAAAUAAAGCACAUGUUAUGCAUUAACAAAUAAAGAAAUUGUUAUAUUGGCGUUGAUAUCCAUUACAGCAAUCAAAUGGAUAUCUUGUCUCAUUAUGUUAUUAUUAGUUAUAGGAAAGUAGACCAUGAUAAUACAAAAACAAUCUUUGUGGAGCAGCCAUUGUGAUGCAGUCUGUGGUUUAGAAGGAGUGUGUUGCUGGUGUAAUGUGGGUCUAGAACCUGAUGGUUGACGGGGAGAUUCUGUUCUUGAACCUUGAAAGACCAGUCCUUGGGCUGCUGAGAGUCUUUUAAGAGGCACCAUAAAGAGCUGCAUUUUGCAUUUUUAGUCUGGAUGCCUUAUUACUUUAUUUGCUUACAUAUGUAGCCUUCAUGUGAAGUUCAGACCAGCAUUUUAUCUUCAGGCUGGGGAGAAAGUUUUUGGUAUUUAGCCACAACGCAAAGUGAGGAAUGGUGACCAUGAUAGCUUGCAGGCUUGUUCUUGUGUGAUGUGAACAUAACAUGUAUUGAUUAAUCCAUAUAAUGAUAGGGGAUGGGUGCAAUAUCUCUCCAAUAGCUAUAAUCUGCUUCUUUACCAAGGUCUAAUGAUAAAUCUGUCAGAAGGUUAAGAAGGUUAUAAUAGUUUGUCUGAGAAACCAGAGAUGUGGAACCUAAUGGAUCCCCUGAAGAAAGGUUUUCUAAACUAUCCCUGCUUUCAACCCAAUAAUCUCUCCCUAGCUGCAGCACUUGCAAGAAAAUAGAUACUUGAAAUUUAACUCCAACAUUGCAGGAUGUCCAAACUUCCAGGUUCACACCCCUUGCCAGAAGAAAUGUGCACCUGAAAGCCAAGGAGUCUGGGAAUGAAGCCUCUACUUGCCAGAGGAUAGAGGCGCAACCAAGUCAACACCGAUUAAAAGUAGGAGGAAAAGGCCCAGCCAUGAACAUGCAGAAGCAAUAGAGCCCUGACACUUCUCUUCUCUGGGGAAACUAAAGCAUCACCACAGACCAGAAGGGGAUGGAGAUAGUCAUUGGUGAAGUAGGCUGGUCUCCACUGUGCAAUACUAUUCGAUUCACCACAAGGACUUGGCCAAAAGAAAGAUGUCCAGGAUCCUGACAUGCUCUGGGAGGACACUGCUAGCAGGACAGAAAAAUCCCAGGACACAGCUCGUUUCUGGGAAACCUAAGGCAUCAUAACAGACAAGAAACAGAACAGAACAGACGCCUCCCAGGAAGACACGAGCGGUGGGAAAAGCUGGUUGACGCAUCCCUGUGACCGAACUCUGGGUCGGAGCUACGGAGCCCUCAAGAGUGGACCCGGCGACGAUAGAAUUUGGCCUGGUAGUUUGCGAGGAGGUCGUGUCAGCAGUCGGCAAGAAGGUUGAGCCGGCGGUCGAAGUGGAGUAGGGUUGGCGGUGGGUGCCGGAGGUCAGAUGCUCCGCCGAUAACAAAGGAGAAUCCGGCAUUAGGGGACCGCCAAGAGGGAAAAUCAAAGAAGACUCGCUGCGGAGAAGGAAGGAGGACCCUGCGUGGGAGAACCGCCGAGAACUAAGGGGGACUGUCGACAUCUGGCAUCUCCAGACCUCAGCCAACUGCUGCCUCAACCAAGGGCGGAACGGUGGCGCAGUGUAGAGUUGCUGCCUUACAGCACCAGAGAUACCGGGUUCGAUCCUGACUACGGGUGCUCGCUAUGGAAUUUGUUCGUUCUCCCCGUGACCUGUGUCGGUUUUCUCUGAGAUCUUUGGUUAACUCCCACACUCAAGGCGUACAGGUUUGUAGGUUAAUUGGGUACGGUAAAAAUUAUAAAUUGCUUCUACUGUGCGUGAUAGUGAUAGUGUUAAUGUGCGGGGAUCGCUGUACGGUAUAGACUCGGUGAGCCGAAGGGCCUGUUUUUGCACUGUAUCUCUAAACUAAACUAAUUCACUGAUUCUCUUGUGCCCUUGCCUCUGUCUCUAUCUUCGAUUUCACCAACGAAUACGGAGGACAUCAACUCCCAGUAACCUUCCUCCUCAACCCUCCUUUGCUGUCUUGGGCAAGCAGAAGUCACCAGUCGUCUAUAUUGAUGGACCCAUGCUCUCAGAUCUUGGCUAUCAUGGACCUUCUGUGGACCAAUGAGCUUAACCUGGCCAAUCUGCACACUGACAGUUGCCGUCUUGCCCGAGGAGAUCCAGAGCAUCUGCAAUGUUCCCUCACUCAUUCCAACAAAGCCUCUGCUGGGUUCGAUCCAGAGUAUGAGGCACUGCCCUAACCAUUAGAGAUGGAUGCCAUGUUGAAAAUAACCUCAAGUUUUCAGAAAGUAAUGGAUGGAUCCUGCUUCUUAUUGCUCCCUCCAGCAAGAUGGCGGUGGUAUGCUUCAUCCUCCAGAUCACCACAGUCUGCAGUACCAAAGGGGAAGCUCAUUAUGAUGAUAGUAGCCGGAAUCACCAGGACAAUGGUCCAGACUUCCAAUUUGUACAUUGACAUUGAACCCGCAUUAUUGGGUUAAAGCACAGAAUGGAUUUAGAUUAAGGAAAUAAUAUGAGCCACUGAAUUCCAUCAUCACCAAAAAAGCAUACUAUCGUUUCUACUUCCUCAGAAGACAAGGAUAUUUGAUAUUAAUUUAAAGACUCGUACCAACUUCUACAGUUGAACUGUAGAAAAGCUACUGCCAGGUUGUAUCACAACUUGGUUUGGGAACAGCUUUGCCCAAGACCACAAGAAAUUGCAGAGUUGUGGAUCACUCCAGCACACAGACCAGACUUCCCACCAUUGAUUACAUCUACACUUCACUCCCUUGGGGAAAACAGCCAACAUAAUCAAAGACCUUUUCCACCCUUGUCAUGUCCACUUUUCCUUGUUGCCACCACAAAGAGGAUAUAAAAGCUUGAAAGCAUGUACCUUCAGACUCGGGAACAGCUUCUUCCCCUGUUAUUUGAAAUCUGAACGGUCCUUCCAAAAACUAGGAUACAUUUCCUAAUUUCCAACCAACAUCAUUGUGAACAUUGGACUUUUUCCUCAUAAACGAUUAUGCUACAAUGUUGAGAAAUUGUAUGCUGCACUAUGCAUGUUUCUCCUCUCUCCACCAAUUGUGCUUGUGUAUGGCUUAAUUGUAUUUAUGUACAGUAUUACCUGAUUUAAUUGCAUAGCUUGCAAACAAAAGCUUUCCAUGUAUCUCAGUGCACACAACAAUAAAGCAAUUUAAAUUUGUUUUGUGAGCUGCAGUAGAUGACUUCACAUUGCCAUAUUAUAUUCCUUCUGUUAUGAUCUGGUCCACAGCUUGUUUCUAUCCCUUUAAAACCUCUUUACAUCCUUCUCACUGCUCAAACAUUUCCCAAGUUUUGUAUCAUCAGUAAAAUUGGAAAUGUGAUAUUUGGCUUCCUCAUCCAACAAGUUGAAGAAGACUGAAUAAUCAGGGUUCCUGUGUUACCCACCUAAUUAUUCCCAAUCCUUGGUUUCUGCCAGUCAGCCAUUUCUCAAUAGCCAGCAGUAUACUAUACUAAUCACAUACCUUCUGAAGUUCUAAAUGUACCACUGCCAUUGUCCAUUUAACCAACCAUAUCCUCAAAUAUCUUCAAAAAAUUUAACACCAUGCACUUUUCUAGAUUAGAAACCUAGAAAGUAGGUGCAGGAGUAGGCCAUUCGGCCCUUCGAGCCUGCACCGCCAUUCAUUAUGUUCAUGGCUAAUCAUCCAACUCGGUAUCCUGUACCUGCCUUCUCUCCAUACCCCCUGAUCCCCUUAGCCACAAGGGCCACAUCUAACUCCCUCUUAAAUAUAACCAAUGAACUGGUGUACCAUGACACCCAGGUCUCGUUGCAUCUCCCUUUUUCCUAAUCGGCCACCAUUCAGAUAAUAGUCUACUUUCCUGUUUUUGCCACCAAAGUGGAUAACCUCACAUUUAUCCACAUUAUACUGCAUCUGCCAUGCAUCUGCCCACUCACCCAGCCUAUCCAAGUCACCUUGCAGCCUCCUAGCAUCCUCCUCACAGCAAACACUGCCCCCCAGCUUUGUGUCAUCCGCAAACUUGGAGAUGUUGCAUUCAAUUCCCUCGUCAAAAUCAUUGAUAUAUAUUGUAAAUAGCUGAGGUCCCAGCACUGAGCCUUGCGGUACUCCACUAGUCACUGCCUACCAUUGUGAAAAGGACCUGUUUACUCCUACUCUCUGCUUCCUGUCUGCCAGCCAGUUCUCUAUCCACAUCAAUACUGAACCCCCAAUACCGUGUGCUUUAAGAUUAAACUCCAUUAACUAUUGCUCAGACCAUUUGCCCAACUGAUUUAGAUCCAGCUAUCAUUUUUGAUAACAAUCGUCACUAUUAUACCACACACAUUAGUGUCAUCUACAAACUCUCAGUCCCAAAAGGCCACUCCAUUACAACUUGCCUUCAUUUAUUGCCUGCUUAAUUAGUCCAUUUUGUUCACUUUAGCAAGUCUACGGCUGCCUUGAAAUCCCUUGGGAAAGCAGCCAAGAU
Molecule: long non-coding RNA, 8777 nt
Organism: Leucoraja erinaceus (little skate)
Lineage: Eukaryota; Metazoa; Chordata; Chondrichthyes; Rajiformes; Rajidae
Exons: 3
Source: RefSeq, a predicted model, not a curated record